RNAcentral lists this ribosomal RNA (116 nucleotides) under uncultured Symbiodinium. Its description in RNAcentral is "partial 5.8S ribosomal RNA". Lineage: Eukaryota; Dinophyceae; Suessiales; Symbiodiniaceae. The record is from RNAcentral.
GAGCUGAUCGCCUCCACGGGUCACACCAAUGCAGUGGAUUGGUGGACCCUGGGCAUCCUCGUCUUUGAGCUGAUGUGUGGCCAUCCUCCCUUCGAGAGUGCGUAUCCAAUGCAGAU